GACGAACACUGGCGGCGUGCCUAAUACAUGCAAGUUGAGCGCUGAAGGUUGGUACUUGUACCAACUGGAUGAGCAGCGAACGGGUGAGUAACGCGUGGGGAAUCUGCCUUUGAGCGGGGGACAACAUUUGGAAACGAAUGCUAAUACCGCAUAAAAACUUUAAACACAAGUUUUAAGUUUGAAAGAUGCAAUUGCAUCACUCAAAGAUGAUCCCGCGUUGUAUUAGCUAGUUGGUGAGGUAAAGGCUCACCAAGGCGAUGAUACAUAGCCGACCUGAGAGGGUGGACGGCCACAUUGGGACUGAGGCACGGCCCAAACUCCUACGGGAGGCAGCAGUAGGGAAUCUUCGGCAAUGGACGAAAGUCUGACCGAGCAACGCCGCGUGAGUGGAGAAGGUUUUCGGAUCGUAAAACUCUGUUGGUAGAGAAGAACGUUGGUGAGAGUGGAAAGCUCAUCAAGUGACGGUAACUACCCAGAAAGGGACGGCUAACUACGUG
RNAcentral lists this ribosomal RNA (497 nucleotides) under uncultured bacterium. Its description in RNAcentral is "partial 16S ribosomal RNA". It matches the Rfam family "Bacterial small subunit ribosomal RNA", at positions 28 to 507 of the family's 1533-position model. The record is from RNAcentral.